RNAcentral lists this ribosomal RNA (754 nucleotides) under uncultured Nitrospiraceae bacterium. Its description in RNAcentral is "bacterial SSU rRNA". It matches the Rfam family "Bacterial small subunit ribosomal RNA", at positions 58 to 801 of the family's 1533-position model. Lineage: Bacteria; Pseudomonadati; Nitrospirota; Nitrospiria; Nitrospirales; Nitrospiraceae. The record is from RNAcentral.
CAAGUCGAACGAGAAUGUGUAGCAAUACACAUGUAAAGUGGCGAACGGGUGAGGAUUACAUGGGUAACCUACCCUCGAGUGGGGAAUAACCAGCCGAAAGGUUGGCUAAUACCGCGUACGCUUCCGAGACUGCGGUUUCGGAAGGAAAGCGAUACCGUGGGUAUCGCGCUCUUGGAUGGGCUCAUGCCCUAUCAGCUUGUUGGUGAGGUAACGGCUCACCAAGGCUUCGACGGGUAGCUGAUCUGAGAGGAUGAUCAGCCACACUGGCACUGCGACACGGGCCAGACUCCUACGGGAGGCAGCAGUAAGGAAUAUUGCGCAAUGGGCGAAAGCCUGACGCAGCGACGCCGCGUGGGGGAUGAAGGUCUUCGGAUUGUAAACCCCUUUCGGGAGGGAAGAUGGGAUGGGGUAACCCAUUCGGACGGUACCUCCAGAAGCAGCCACGGCUAACUUCGUGCCAGCAGCCGCGGUAAUACGAAGGUGGCAAGCGUUGUUCGGAUUUACUGGGCGUACAGGGAGCGUAGGCGGUUGGAUAAGCCCUCCGUGAAAUCUCCAGGCUUAACCUGGAAAGUGCAGAGGGGACUGUUCACCUAGAGGAUGGGAAAAGGAGCGCGGAAUUCCCGGUGUAGCGGUGAAAUGCGUAGAGAUCGGGAGGAAGGCCGGUGGCAAAGGCGGCGCUCUGGAACAUUUCUGACGCUGAGGCUCGAAAAGCGUUGGGGAGCAAACAGGAUUAGAUACCCUGGUAGUCCACGCC